GCCAGGUAUCGUGGUGCACACCUGUAAUCCCAGCUACUCAGGAGGCUGACACAAGAGGAUCACAAAUUUGAGGCCAACCUCAGCAACUUAGCAAGAUCUUGUCUCAA
Molecule: small RNA, 107 nt
Filed under: Marmota monax (woodchuck)
Lineage: Eukaryota; Metazoa; Chordata; Mammalia; Rodentia; Sciuridae
Source: RNAcentral